AAGAAGAGACCCGCAUCAUUGA
RNAcentral lists this unclassified non-coding RNA (22 nucleotides) under Mus musculus (house mouse). Its description in RNAcentral is "oocyte_clustered_small_RNA125". The record is from RNAcentral. Lineage: Eukaryota; Metazoa; Chordata; Mammalia; Rodentia; Muridae.